AGUUGCUAAGACUGGAUAGGAAAAGUAAAGGCAUCUUUACUUUUUUAAAAGACCUUCUUUGAAGGUAUGCUUAAGGAGGGGCUUGCGACACAUUAGUUAGUUGGCAGGGUAAAGGCCUACCAAGACUAUGAUGUGUAGCUGGACUGAGAGGUUGAACAGCCACAUUGGGACUGAGACACGGCCCAAACUCCUACGGGAGGCAGCAGUAGGGAAUUUUCGGCAAUGGAGGAAACUCUGACCGAGCAACGCCGCGUGAACGAUGAAGUACCUCGGUAUGUAAAGUUCUUUUAUUAAGGAAGAAAAAAGAGUGGAAAAACUCCCUUGACGGUACUUAAUGAAUAAGCCCCGGCUAAUUAUGUGCCAGCAGCCGCGGUAAUACAUAAAGGGCGAGCGUUAUCCGGAAUUAUUGGGCGUAAAGGGUGCGUAGGCGGUUUAAUAAGUCUAUAGUUUAAUUUCAGCGCUUAACGCUGUUGUGCUAUAGAAACUGUUUUACUAGAGUGAGUUAGAGGCAAGCGGAAUUCCAUGUGUAGCGGUAAAAUGCGUAAAUAUAUGGAGGAACACCAGAGGCGUAGGCGGCUUGCUGGGACUUUACUGACGCUGAGGCACGAAAGCGUGGGGAGCAAACAGGAUUAGAUACCCUGGUAGUCCACGCCGUAAACGAUGAGUACUAAGUGUCGGGUAAAACCGGUACUGAAGUUAACACAUUAAGUACUCCGCCUGAGUAGUACGUACGCAAGUAUGAAACUUAAAGGAAUUGACGGGACUCCGCACAAGCGGUGGAUCAUGUUGUUUAAUUCGAAGAUACACGAAAAACCUUACCAGGUCUUGACAUUUUCUUGCGAAGUUAUAGAAAUAUAAUGGAGGUUAUCAGGAAAACAGGUGGUGCAUGGUUGUCGUCAGCUCGUGUCGUGAGAUGUUAGGUUAAGUCCUAAAACGAGCGCAACCCUUGUCGUUAAUUGCCAGCAUGUAAUGAUGGGGACUUUAACGAGACUGCCAAUGAAAAAUUGGAGGAAGGUGGGGAUUACGUCAAAUCAUCAUGCCCCUUAUGAUCUGGGCUACAAACGUGAUACAAUGGUUGAUACAAAGAGUAGCUGAAACGCGAGUUCUUAGCCAAUCUCACAAAAUCAAUCUCAGUUCGGAUUGAAGUCUGCAACUCGACUUCAUGAAGUUGGAAUCGCUAGUAAUCGCGAAUCAGCAUGUCGCGGUGAAUACGUUCUCGGGGUUUGUACACACCGCCCGUCAAACCACGAAAGUUGGCAAUACCCCAAAGUGGUCACCUAACUUCGCAAGAAGAAGGAUCCGUCUAAGGUAGGGUCGAU
RNAcentral lists this ribosomal RNA (1319 nucleotides) under Candidatus Phytoplasma pruni -related phytoplasma. Its description in RNAcentral is "bacterial SSU rRNA". It matches the Rfam family "Bacterial small subunit ribosomal RNA", at positions 158 to 1472 of the family's 1533-position model. The record is from RNAcentral. Lineage: Bacteria; Bacillati; Mycoplasmatota; Mollicutes; Acholeplasmatales; Acholeplasmataceae.